Molecule: long non-coding RNA, 226 nt
Filed under: Gallus gallus (chicken)
Lineage: Eukaryota; Metazoa; Chordata; Aves; Galliformes; Phasianidae
Source: RNAcentral
AAAAAGGGAAGGCCAGGCUAGACCAUGCCAGGCCAGACCUGGGCAUGCAAGAUAAUGCAAGGCAACACCGGGACUGGUUAGUGCAGUCCAGACCAGGCAAGGCAAGGAUAGGCCAGACCAGGCCAGGCAAGGAAAGGCAAUGCAAGGCAAGGCAAGGCAAGGCCAGGCAAGCCAAGGCCAGACUAAACCAGGCCCAGCAAUGCAAGGCAAGGAAAGGUAAGGCAAG